GGCAGUGGUAGCUCGAUGGUUAAGACAUCGGACUACUGAUCAGAAGAUGUUGAGUUCACAUCCCAGCACUGCCA
This is a non-coding RNA of Ameiurus melas (black bullhead), 74 nucleotides long. The record is from the annotation of a GenBank genome assembly. NCBI's taxonomy places the organism in Eukaryota, Metazoa, Chordata, Actinopteri, Siluriformes, Ictaluridae.